This 91-nucleotide transfer RNA is filed under the name Coriobacteriia bacterium. RNAcentral's name for it is "tRNA-Leu". It matches the Rfam family "tRNA". From Rfam's summary of the family: Transfer RNA (tRNA) molecules are approximately 80 nucleotides in length. Their secondary structure includes four short double-helical elements and three loops (D, anti-codon, and T loops). RNAcentral also lists the same sequence under 2 other names. The record is from RNAcentral. Lineage: Bacteria; Bacillati; Actinomycetota; Coriobacteriia.
GUCGGAGUGGCGGAACUGGCAGACGCGCAGGCUUGAGGUGCCUGUGUCCAAUAACUCGGACGUGCGGGUUCAAAUCCCGCCUUCGACACCA